GGUUAAGCGACUAAGCGUACACGGUGGAUGCCCUGGCAGUCAGAGGCGAUGAAGGGCGUGCUAAUCUGCGAUAAGCGCCGGUAAGGUGAUAUGAACCGUUAUAACCGGCGAUACCCGAAUGGGGAAACCCAGUGUGACUCGUCACACUAUCAUUAACUGAAUCCAUAGGUUAAUGAGGCGAACCGGGGGAACUGAAACAUCUAAGUACCCCGAGGAAAAGAAAUCAACCGAGAUUCCCCCAGUAGCGGCGAGCGAACGGGGAGGAGCCCAGAGCCUGAAUCAGCAUGUGUGUUAGUGGAAGCGUCUGGAAAGGCGCGCGAUACAGGGUGACAGCCCCGUACACAAAAGCGCAUAUGCUGUGAGCUCGAUGAGUAGGGCGGGACACGUGGUAUCCUGUCUGAAUAUGGGGGGACCAUCCUCCAAGGCUAAAUACUCCUGACUGACCGAUAGUGAACCAGUACCGUGAGGGAAAGGCGAAAAGAACCCCGGCGAGGGGAGUGAAAAAGAACCUGAAACCGUGUACGUACAAGCAGUGGGAGCACCCUUUGGGGUGUGACUGCGUACCUUUUGUAUAAUGGGUCAGCGACUUAUAUUCUGUAGCAAGGUUAACCGCAUAGGGGAGCCGGAGGGAAACCGAGUCUUAAUUGGGCGUUAAGUUGCAGGGUAUAGACCCGAAACCCGGUGAUCUAGCCAUGGGCAGGUUGAAGGUUGGGUAACACUAACUGGAGGACCGAACCGACUAAUGUUGAAAAAUUAGCGGAUGACCUGUGGCUGGGGGUGAAAGGCCAAUCAAACCGGGAGAUAGCUGGUUCUCCCCGAAAGCUAUUUAGGUAGCGCCUCGUGAAUUCAUCUCCGGGGGUAGAGCACUGUUUCGGCUAGGGGGCCAUCCCGGCUUACCAACCCGAUGCAAACUGCGAAUACCGGAGAAUGUUAUCACGGGAGACACACGGCGGGUGCUAACGUCCGUCGUGAAGAGGGAAACAACCCAGACCGCCAGCUAAGGUCCCAAAGUCAUGGUUAAGUGGGAAACGAUGUGGGAAGGCCCAGACAGCCAGGAUGUUGGCUUAGAAGCAGCCAUCAUUUAAAGAAAGCGUAAUAGCUCACUGGUCGAGUCGGCCUGCGCGGAAGAUGUAACGGGGCUAAACCAUGCACCGAAGCUGCGGCAGCGACACUGUGUGUUGUUGGGUAGGGGAGCGUUCUGUAAGCCUGUGAAGGUGGCCUGUGAGGGUUGCUGGAGGUAUCAGAAGUGCGAAUGCUGACAUAAGUAACGAUAAAGCGGGUGAAAAGCCCGCUCGCCGGAAGACCAAGGGUUCCUGUCCAACGUUAAUCGGGGCAGGGUGAGUCGACCCCUAAGGCGAGGCCGAAAGGCGUAGUCGAUGGGAAACGGGUUAAUAUUCCCGUACUUGGUGUUACUGCGAAGGGGGGACGGAGAAGGCUAUGUUGGCCGGGCGACGGUUGUCCCGGUUUAAGCGUGUAGGUGUGUGUUCCAGGUAAAUCCGGUUCACUUUAACACUGAGGCGUGAUGACGAGGCACUACGGUGCUGAAGCAACAAAUGCCCUGCUUCCAGGAAAAGCCUCUAAGCAUCAGGUAACAUCAAAUCGUACCCCAAACCGACACAGGUGGUCAGGUAGAGAAUACCAAGGCGCUUGAGAGAACUCGGGUGAAGGAACUAGGCAAAAUGGUGCCGUAACUUCGGGAGAAGGCACGCUGACACGUAGGUGAAGUGAUUUACUCAUGGAGCUGAAGUCAGUCGAAGAUACCAGCUGGCUGCAACUGUUUAUUAAAAACACAGCACUGUGCAAACACGAAAGUGGACGUAUACGGUGUGACGCCUGCCCGGUGCCGGAAGGUUAAUUGAUGGGGUCAGCGCAAGCGAAGCUCCUGAUCGAAGCCCCGGUAAACGGCGGCCGUAACUAUAACGGUCCUAAGGUAGCGAAAUUCCUUGUCGGGUAAGUUCCGACCUGCACGAAUGGCGUAAUGAUGGCCAGGCUGUCUCCACCCGAGACUCAGUGAAAUUGAACUCGCUGUGAAGAUGCAGUGUACCCGCGGCAAGACGGAAAGACCCCGUGAACCUUUACUAUAGCUUGACACUGAACAUUGAGCCUUGAUGUGUAGGAUAGGUGGGAGGCUUUGAAGUGUGGACGCCAGUCUGCAUGGAGCCGACCUUGAAAUACCACCCUUUAAUGUUUGAUGUUCUAACGUGGACCCGUAAUCCGGGUUGCGGACAGUGUCUGGUGGGUAGUUUGACUGGGGCGGUCUCCUCCUAAAGAGUAACGGAGGAGCACGAAGGUUGGCUAAUCCUGGUCGGACAUCAGGAGGUUAGUGCAAUGGCAUAAGCCAGCUUGACUGCGAGCGUGACGGCGCGAGCAGGUGCGAAAGCAGGUCAUAGUGAUCCGGUGGUUCUGAAUGGAAGGGCCAUCGCUCAACGGAUAAAAGGUACUCCGGGGAUAACAGGCUGAUACCGCCCAAGAGUUCAUAUCGACGGCGGUGUUUGGCACCUCGAUGUCGGCUCAUCACAUCCUGGGGCUGAAGUAGGUCCCAAGGGUAUGGCUGUUCGCCAUUUAAAGUGGUACGCGAGCUGGGUUUAGAACGUCGUGAGACAGUUCGGUCCCUAUCUGCCGUGGGCGCUGGAGAACUGAGGGGGGCUGCUCCUAGUACGAGAGGACCGGAGUGGACGCAUCACUGGUGUUCGGGUUGUCAUGCCAAUGGCACUGCCCGGUAGCUAAAUGCGGAAGAGAUAAGUGCUGAAAGCAUCUAAGCACGAAACUUGCCCCGAGAUGAGUUCUCCCUGAGACUUAAAGUCUCCUGAAGGAACGUUGAAGACGACGACGUUGAUAGGCCGGGUGUGUAAGCGCAGCGAUGCGUUGAGCUAACCGGUACUAAUGAACCGUGAGGCUUAACCUU
This 2905-nucleotide ribosomal RNA is filed under the name Salmonella enterica subsp. enterica. Its description in RNAcentral is "23S ribosomal RNA". It matches the Rfam family "Bacterial large subunit ribosomal RNA". Lineage: Bacteria; Pseudomonadati; Pseudomonadota; Gammaproteobacteria; Enterobacterales; Enterobacteriaceae. The record is from RNAcentral.